CUUGAUCAGUGCACAGGGCGUGGGGGAGUACGGGGGUGGUAGGCGUUAUUCGGAGUCAAGAGGGUUAAAGGGUGCGUAGGGUGUGUAUUAGUUCAGUGGUGAAAACCCCGAGCUUAACGUGGGCAUGUGCAUGGAUACUAUCAGUCUUGAAUCACGGGGAGGGCAGGAGAAUAUGUCAUGUAGCGGGGAAAGUCUUAGAUAUGACAUAGAACACCAAGUGCGAAGGCAGCUGGCUACACGAAUAUUGACACUGAGGCACGAAAGCGUGGGGAUCAAACAGGAUUAGAUACCCUUGUAGUC
This 300-nucleotide ribosomal RNA is filed under the name uncultured Halarsenatibacter sp. RNAcentral describes it as "partial 16S ribosomal RNA". It matches the Rfam family "Bacterial small subunit ribosomal RNA", at positions 497 to 795 of the family's 1533-position model. Lineage: Bacteria; Bacillati; Bacillota; Clostridia; Halanaerobiales; Halarsenatibacteraceae. The record is from RNAcentral.